RNAcentral lists this ribosomal RNA (279 nucleotides) under Symbiodinium sp. clade D. Its description in RNAcentral is "partial Bacterial small subunit ribosomal RNA". It matches the Rfam family "Bacterial small subunit ribosomal RNA", at positions 505 to 783 of the family's 1533-position model. Lineage: Eukaryota; Dinophyceae; Suessiales; Symbiodiniaceae. The record is from RNAcentral.
GUGCCAGCAGCCGCGGUAAUACGAAGGGGGCUAGCGUUACUCGGAAUUACUGGGCGUAAAGCGUGCGUAGGUUGUGUGGUAAGUUGGAAGUGAAAUCCUUAAGCUUAACUUAAGAACUGCUUCCAAAACUACUAUACUUGAGUUUCAAAGAGGAUAGCGGAAUUCCUAGUGUAGAAGUGAAAUUCGUAGAUAUUAGGAGGAACACCAAAAGCGAAAGCAGCUAUCUGGGUGAAUACUGACGCUGUUGCACGAAAGCGUGGGGAGCAAACAGGAUUAGAU